ACCGCCAACCAUCUUUCAGCUGCUGCCCAGAAGUCUCCUUAACCCCAGGAUGUCAGCAAGCAAAAGUUUCAUGGCCAGUUAAAAUUUUUUAGUUCUUGAAAAUUUUCUGAAGUGCUUGUAACAAACAGUAUUUUGAUUAUUUUAUUUAUUUUUGUACUUCUUCUUUCUACAAAAUAGAAGAUUUGCUAUGAAACAUCCAUCUUUUUUAUGCUCUUUUUAAUUAUUUUGUAUGCAUCUCAUCUUGACUAGCCUAUGCU
This 257-nucleotide long non-coding RNA is filed under the name Elaeis guineensis (African oil palm). Its description in RNAcentral is "long non-coding RNA (EGUI_LNC070670)". The record is from RNAcentral. Lineage: Eukaryota; Viridiplantae; Streptophyta; Magnoliopsida; Arecales; Arecaceae.